CUUAAAUUGAAGAGUUUGAUCAUGGCUCAGAUUGAACGCUGGCGGCAGGCCUAACACAUGCAAGUCGAGCGGUAGCACAGAAGAGCUUGCUCUUUGGGUGACGAGCGGCGGACGGGUGAGUAAUGUCUGGGAAACUGCCUGAUGGAGGGGGAUAACUACUGGAAACGGUAGCUAAUACCGCAUAACCUCGCAAGAGCAAAGAGGGGGACCUUCGGGCCUCUCGCCAUCAGAUGUGCCCAGAUGGGAUUAGCUAGUAGGUGAGGUAAUGGCUCACCUAGGCGACGAUCCCUAGCUGGUCUGAGAGGAUGACCAGCCACACUGGAACUGAGACACGGUCCAGACUCCUACGGGAGGCAGCAGUGGGGAAUAUUGCACAAUGGGCGCAAGCCUGAUGCAGCCAUGCCGCGUGUGUGAAGAAGGCCUUCGGGUUGUAAAGCACUUUCAGCGGGGAGGAAGGCGGUGAGGUUAAUAACCUCAUCGAUUGACGUUACCCGCAGAAGAAGCACCGGCUAACUCCGUGCCAGCAGCCGCGGUAAUACGGAGGGUGCAAGCGUUAAUCGGAAUGACUGGGCGUAAAGCGCACGCAGGCGGUCUGUUAAGUUGGAUGUGAAAUCCCCGGGCUUAACCUGGGAACUGCAUUCAAAACUGACAGGCUAGAGUCUUGUAGAGGGGGGUAGAAUUCCAGGUGUAGCGGUGAAAUGCGUAGAGAUCUGGAGGAAUACCGGUGGCGAAGGCGGCCCCCUGGACAAAGACUGACGCUCAGGUGCGAAAGCGUGGGGAGCAAACAGGAUUAGAUACCCUGGUAGUCCACGCUGUAAACGAUGUCGAUUUGGAGGUUGUGCCCUUGAGGCGUGGCUUCCGGAGCUAACGCGUUAAAUCGACCGCCUGGGGAGUACGGCCGCAAGGUUAAAACUCAAAUGAAUUGACGGGGGCCCGCACAAGCGGUGGAGCAUGUGGUUUAAUUCGAUGCAACGCGAAGAACCUUACCUACUCUUGACAUCCACAGAAUUCGGCAGAGAUGCCUUAGUGCCUUCGGGAACUGUGAGACAGGUGCUGCAUGGCUGUCGUCAGCUCGUGUUGUGAAAUGUUGGGUUAAGUCCCGCAACGAGCGCAACCCUUAUCCUUUGUUGCCAGCGAUUCGGUCGGGAACUCAAAGGAGACUGCCGGUGAUAAACCGGAGGAAGGUGGGGAUGACGUCAAGUCAUCAUGGCCCUUACGAGUAGGGCUACACACGUGCUACAAUGGCGUAUACAAAGAGAAGCGACCUCGCGAGAGCAAGCGGACCUCAUAAAGUACGUCGUAGUCCGGAUUGGAGUCUGCAACUCGACUCCAUGAAGUCGGAAUCGCUAGUAAUCGUAGAUCAGAAUGCUACGGUGAAUACGUUCCCGGGCCUUGUACACACCGCCCGUCACACCAUGGGAGUGGGUUGCAAAAGAAGUAGGUAGCUUAACCUUCGGGAGGGCGCUUACCACUUUGUGAUUCAUGACUGGGGUGAAGUCGUAACAAGGUAACCGUAGGGGAACCUGCGGUUGGAUCACCUCCUUACCAAGAAG
Molecule: ribosomal RNA, 1553 nt
Filed under: Pectobacterium brasiliense
Lineage: Bacteria; Pseudomonadati; Pseudomonadota; Gammaproteobacteria; Enterobacterales; Pectobacteriaceae
Description: bacterial SSU rRNA
Rfam family: Bacterial small subunit ribosomal RNA
Source: RNAcentral